AUUGAACGCUGGCGGCAGGCCUAACACAUGCAAGUCGAGCGGAUGAAGGGAGCUUGCUCCUGGAUUCAGCGGCGGACGGGUGAGUAAUGCCUAGAAAUCUGCCUGGUAGUGGGGGAUAACGUCCGGAAACGGGCGCUAAUACCGCAUACGUCCUGAGGGAGAAAGUGGGGGAUCUUCGGACCUCACGCUAUCAGAUGAGCCUAGGUCGGAUUAGCUAGUUGGUGGGGUAAAGGCCUACCAAGGCGACGAUCCGUAACUGGUCUGAGAGGAUGAUCAGUCACACUGGAACUGAGACACGGUCCAGACUCCUACGGGAGGCAGCAGUGGGGAAUAGUGGACAAUGGGCGAAAGCCUGAUCCAGCCAUGCCGCGUGUGUGAAGAAGGUCUUCGGAUUGUAAAGCACUUUAAGUUGGGAGGAAGGGCAGUAAGUUAAUACCUUGCUGUUUUGACGUUACCAACAGAAUAAGCACCGGCUAACUUCGUG
This 484-nucleotide ribosomal RNA is filed under the name uncultured bacterium. RNAcentral's name for it is "partial 16S ribosomal RNA". It matches the Rfam family "Bacterial small subunit ribosomal RNA", at positions 30 to 507 of the family's 1533-position model. The record is from RNAcentral.